This 813-nucleotide ribosomal RNA is filed under the name Campylobacter fetus subsp. testudinum. RNAcentral describes it as "bacterial LSU rRNA". It matches the Rfam family "Bacterial large subunit ribosomal RNA", at positions 39 to 871 of the family's 2925-position model. The record is from RNAcentral. Lineage: Bacteria; Pseudomonadati; Campylobacterota; Epsilonproteobacteria; Campylobacterales; Campylobacteraceae.
AGUAGAGGCGAUGAAAGACGUGCCAGGCUGCGAUAAGUCUCGGGGAGCCGUCAAGGGGCUUUGAUCCGGGAAUUUCUGAAUGGGGCAACCCAGUAUAUAGUGAUAUAUACUACCGCAAUGCGGAGCUAACGUUGGGAAUUGAAACAUCUUAGUACCAACAGGAAAAGAAAUCAAAAGAGAUUACGCUAGUAGCGGCGAGCGAACGCGUAAGAGGGCAAACCGUUAGUUUACUAACGGGGUUGUAGGACUGCAACAUAGACUUAAACAAACUAAUAGAAUAACCUGGAAAGGUUGGCCAUAGAGGGUGAUAGCCCCGUAUAUGAAAGUGCGUUUAUACUUAGCAGUAUCCUGAGUAGGGCGGGACACGUGAAAUCCUGUCUGAAGCUGGGGAGACCACUCUCCAACCCUAAAUACUACUACUAGACCGAUAGUGCACAAGUACCGUGAGGGAAAGGUGAAAAGAACUGAGGUGAUCAGAGUGAAAUAGAACCUGAAACCAUUUGCUUACAAUCAUUCAGAGCACGAUUCUUUAUGACGUGUGAUGGACUGCCUUUUGCAUAAUGAGCCUGCGAGUUGUGGUGUCUGGCGAGGUUAAGGAAACCCGGAGCCGUAGCGAAAGCGAGUCUUAAUAGGGCGUAUAGUCAGAUGCUGCAGACCCGAAACGAUGUGAUCUAUCCAUGAGCAGGUUGAAACUGGUGUAAGAGCCAGCGGAGGACCGAACAGACGGCCGUUGAAAAGGCUCCUGAUGACUUGUGGAUAGGGGUGAAAGGCCAAUCAAACAUCGUGAUAGCUGGUUCUCUCCGAAAUAUAUUU